GUGCUUAUUUCAGCAGCUCAUAUACUAAAAUUGGAACAAUAUAGAGAUUAGCCUAACCUCUGCUCAGGGAUGGCACACAAAUUUUUGAAGCAUUCCAUAGUUCC
Molecule: small nuclear RNA, 104 nt
Organism: Perognathus longimembris pacificus (Pacific pocket mouse)
Lineage: Eukaryota; Metazoa; Chordata; Mammalia; Rodentia; Heteromyidae
Source: RefSeq, a predicted model, not a curated record